This 412-nucleotide ribosomal RNA is filed under the name uncultured bacterium. RNAcentral describes it as "partial 16S ribosomal RNA". It matches the Rfam family "Bacterial small subunit ribosomal RNA", at positions 360 to 773 of the family's 1533-position model. The record is from RNAcentral.
AAUAUUGCGCAAUGGAGGGAACUCUGACGCAGCGACGCCGCGUGAGCGAUGAAGGUCUUCGGAUCGUAAAGCUCUGUCCUUGGGGAAGAAGGGAGCCGUAAGGCUUCUUGACGGUACCCAUGGAGGAAGCCCCGGCUAACUACGUGCCAGCAGCCGCGGUAAUACGUAGGGGGCAAGCGUUGUCCGGAAUUACUGGGCGUAAAGGGCGUGUAGGCGGCCAUGUAUGUCAGGUGUGAAAUGCCACGGCUCAACCGGGGCACUGCACAUGAAACUGGAUGGCUUGAGUGCAGGAGAGGGAAGUGGAAUUCCUAGUGUAGCGGUGAAAUGCGUAGAUAUUAGGAGGAACACCAGUGGCGAAGGCGACUUCCUGGACUGUAACUGACGCUGAGGCGCGAAAGCGUGGGUAGCAAAC